UGGGGAAUAUUGCACAAUGGGGGAAACCCUGAUGCAGCCAUGCCGCGUGUGUGAAGAAGGCCUUCGGGUUGUAAAGCACUUUCAGUAGGGAGGAAGGUAGUGUAGUUAACACCUGCAUUAUUUGACGUUACCUACAGAAGAAGCACCGGCUAACUCCGUGCCAGCAGCCGCGGUAAUACGGAGGGUGCGAGCGUUAAUCGGAAUUACUGGGCGUAAAGCGCAUGCAGGCGGCCUGUUAAGUCAGAUGUGAAAGCCCGGGGCUUAACCUCGGAAUUGCAUUUGAAACUGGCAGGCUAGAGUCUUGUAGAGGGGGUAGAAUUUCAGGUGUAGCGGUGAAAUGCGUAGAGAUCUGAAGGAAUACCAGUGGCGAAGGCGGCCCCCUGGACAAAGACUGACGCUCAGAUGCGAAAGCGUGGGGAGCAAACAGGAUUAGAUACCCUGGUAG
Molecule: ribosomal RNA, 445 nt
Filed under: uncultured bacterium
Lineage: Bacteria
Description: bacterial SSU rRNA
Rfam family: Bacterial small subunit ribosomal RNA
Source: RNAcentral